UGGGGGCUCGUCUAAUGGCAGGACAGCUGACUCUGGAUCAGCUAGUAGAGGUUCGAAUCCUUUGCCCCCAGC
RNAcentral lists this transfer RNA (72 nucleotides) under Anaerolineaceae bacterium. RNAcentral's name for it is "tRNA-Gln". It matches the Rfam family "tRNA". From Rfam's summary of the family: Transfer RNA (tRNA) molecules are approximately 80 nucleotides in length. Their secondary structure includes four short double-helical elements and three loops (D, anti-codon, and T loops). The record is from RNAcentral. Lineage: Bacteria; Bacillati; Chloroflexota; Anaerolineae; Anaerolineales; Anaerolineaceae.